Molecule: long non-coding RNA, 4550 nt
Organism: Gallus gallus (chicken)
Lineage: Eukaryota; Metazoa; Chordata; Aves; Galliformes; Phasianidae
Source: Ensembl
CAGGCGAGGGAGAACUUUGUUGUCAUCCAUGCCAAGAUGUGCAGCAGCUCCUAUUAGGGAGUGCGGAUUGCCGUGGAGAGGCUUGGAGGUCUGCAAAAGGGUGACAUGAGAAAAGGAAGAAGUGGCAUCAAAGGGCCAAUACUUGCUAACAAGUUAUCGCGAAGCCAAGCAGUGCUGCUCUACAUGUUCCGCCCAGGAGCUUCCUACCCCCAGGGAGUGAAUGGCAAGAUGCUGCAUUUUGCCCCAGAUACGCAUGGUUUGCCCACUUUGCACCCAGAUGCACUGUGCAGAGGCUCCCAGGCUGGGCAGAGCCUGCAGUCCUGCAAGCAGGGGCAACAGAGCUGAGUCAGGAAGAUGCGUUCAGUGAGGCUGAACAGUGGGGAUGCUAUCUCACCCUUAACUGACAGGGUCUCAGAAGCACACCCUCCCAGACGCCACAAGCAGUACAGCAAUCACAUCUAGUCCUGCAGCAGCGCUUCUCCAGGGCUCCACCUUGCAAACGACAGGGAAGCCAUGCAGCUCGUUCAGUCCCUGCUGUGGCUAAAAAAGCACUGUCAAACACUUUUUACAAUCCCUCAGUGAACGUUAGCAGCUCUGCACUGCUGCUCAGCUCCUGAAAAUGCACAGAAGUGUGCCACGUAGCCGUUAGCAUGAAAUGCUUCACGUGUUUACAGCUACGCCGUGAUUCCCCCACUCGCGGGAGGAGAGCAAAGCAUCAGCAAGCCUGCAAAGGUAACAGUCUCAUUCCUCAGUCUGCCUAGUGGAAAUGAGUGGGAUCUCAGGUCGAGCCGUGACAAACCCCGGCAGGUAACGUGUCAAGAAAAUCUCUGUACGGAGAAAGUACUCUUUGCUCUGCCACACUGCAGAACUUCUCUGGAACUCAGACGAAUUGUUCCAGAUUAAAAUGGGAACGAAUAAGAGUGGAAUGUUUUCAUCAUUUGCUGAAAGACCUCGUCGUGCUAUGAUCACGGACUGACCUUCAGCCUUGGCCAGGUGACCCCCUGGGAAAGGACAGGCUACAGCCUAGUUCUCAGGUGAUUAUGAAAGUCAAAUAGUUAGAGAGUAACGAAUGUACUGAAAACAGGCUGAAAAACAUUCUGCAGUGAAACCCCACCUUCAUCUCCCUGCUGCUGGAAAAGCAAAAAGCACACAGAUAACGCAAAAAGCACCCAGAUCAAUCUCCCUAUUACUGCUGUGAACAGCCCUUACUGAAAUCUCCACCUCUGUUUUCAGAGAGCAGAAAAAAGACCUUUAGCGUGCUUGCUUUGCAGGGACACUCUAACGUGUUAAGAUAUUAAUUAUCUAACUUAUUAAUGAAUCCCACCACGAGGUGAGAAGGAGAAGCGCGUCACAACCUGUAAUUUGAAGUGUCACUUAAGUCCCUAAUUCAGAUCUAGAGGCCACGUGCCUAACUGUCAGGGCCCCAGGACGGCCCUAACGAGGCCGGCUGCGCUAACGAGGCAACGACUUCCAGGUGCCGCGGCCGGCCGGGCACAGCUGCGCCUCGUCGGGAGCCCCGGGCGGGGCCCGCCCCAAAGCCUCUUAAGCUCCUCCGGAGGCUGCCGGGAGCCACGGGGGAGUUCUUGCGGUUCUCCCCGAGAGACGGAGGGGGCUCCGGUUCCUUUGACCGCUCUUAGCGCUGCUGGAGCUGGGAAGCGGCUGCUGUGAGACCUCUCGCGGUAAGGAUCCGCCCAAACCGGUGUGAGCCGUUUUGGUAGUAACGGGACCGUGCAGGCGGCGAGGGCUCGGGAGCCGCGAGGAUCUCUUCGGCUGGAGCGGGAGGCUGCCGGGCUCCCGGACCCCGCUCUUCCCGGGGCCGGCGUAGGGCUGCCGCCGGGCUUCCCCGGCUGUUUGCUGUCGAUACAGCGUCGCCGCCCGGCUCCCAUCGCGUUUUCGGAGGGAGCUGCCGCUCAGGUCCUUAAGUCCUACCGCAGCCCCGGGGUGCUCUGAGCCUCCCUCUUCCUAGGGUUGUUUGUAGCGGGUGCUUCGGUUCUUCAGGCUCUCAUCGGCUGAGCGAGUGUUCCGGCAGAGCCUCUCCUCGCUCCAAAGCGGUGAGCUCGUGGAAGCGGUGAGCGUUGGGGAGUCAGCUGGUAAGAUCUCUCUUCUCGGGGUUUAUGUAGGGCUGUUGCUCGGCUACCUCUGCACCUUCGGGAUCGGCACGGCGCCGCUUCUGGGCUCCCGCGUGGCCUUUUAGAGAAGAGCCGGCACGAGGCCGCUGCCCGACGGCUCGAGACCGAGCGCGGCCCCGGGGCGGCCUCAGCCCCCGAGGAGGGUUCUACUGGUGCUCCAGCCCCCCCGUUUCCAGCGGUGGGAGCGAGCAGGAUGGGAACACUUGUUUUCUUUUUUUCUCCCCCUUCCUUCACGUGGGACUUCAGGAGCACGGUUUUGUGCCUACCGUGGAGACCUGGUGGGGCAGCUUGCAUGACCGGAAUGCUGUUGUGGAUGGCUUUGUUCCUUUUAGGAAAGACAGACCGGCCAGGUGGUGGAGUCUCUCUUCCAGUGAGAGAAUGGAAAUGUAUCGAGCUCUGCCUCGGGGUGAAUGAAGAACUAGCGGAGCGCUUGCAUGUGAGGCUCAAGAGGCAGGUAAAUGUGGGUGACAUCACUGUGGGUGGUAUCUCUACUGGCAGGAGACCUGCAGGGUUGAAUGAGGAACUCAAGAUGAACUUGAAGGGGAAAAGGAAGACUUGGGCUAAGGAAGACGAUGACCCUCUCAGUAUCACCUUUGGGAAGGGAGGUCAAGGCUAAUAGAAGUUGGUCAAUGGGAGAAAGGAGACUAGAGCGGGCCUCUGCUUUACAAGGUGGAGGCCCUGGUAAUAGAGUAUGUGCUGAAUGUAUUUUUGGUUUCAGUGGUCGCUGCUGAGUCUGCUCCUUGGGAUCCCUGGAUUCUGGAGGAAAUAGUUUUAGAGGAAGGAUGACUUCCUCUUGAUUGUGGAGGAGCUGGUCAAAGGUCAUUUAGGCAAAGUGGGUGCCAGCACAAAUGCCUGAGCUGGAAAGGGAUAUGCCUGUGUGUGCUGAGAGAGCUGGCAGAAGUGACUGCCACAUAGCUCUCUGUCACGUUUCCUCUGUUCUUUCCUAUAGGAAAGGUGCCCAAAGACUGGAGGAUAGCUGAUGUCACCUCAGCCUUCGGAAAGGGUGAGGAGGAUGGCCUGUGUGUAUGGGAACUGUUGAAUCACAGCCUGAACCUUUGAUUCCUCCACCUGAGGAGAGUGCCGAGUCAGCUGCAGGGGCACAGGUGAAUGCAAUUUCACCUGAGUGAGGGGAAGAGGUGGAGCCUGGCUCCAUCCCUCCUAGAUGCCAUUUAAGGGCUGACUCCCAAGGAGGAAGGAUCUCUGGCUGGAGAUCCUCUUGGAGCCCUUCUGUAAGCCCAGGACAUGGGUAAGAUCUUUAUUUCAUUUCUCCUUUGUAAUGUGUUAUUCUCUGUGGUCCAAUACCUGUAUACCUGUUUGUCAUACAGCUGUGCAACUGUAGGUUGGUUAGCCUCACCUCCCUUCCUGGAAUGGCAAUGUAACAACUGCUUCUGGAUGUCAUCUCCAAGCAACUGGAAGAGAAGAAAUGUCUAAGGAGCGGUCAAGGGUGAAGGCUGCAGGGAGGAUUGGCUGGAAUACGUGAGCUGCUUUUUUCCAGUGCUGGGAUGAAGGAGGUGAGAGAUGGGGACCCACCAGUGGGUCCCCUGCUAGCAGAGGGCUGCCUUCUGUGUGGUUCACAGGUCUUCCUGCAGGUUCAGGGCUGGAGUGAGGUCUGAAGGUGUGUGGCAGGUUCUCUCUUGGAGGAAUGGAACUGAUGAAGUGCUGGAGUUUGGGGUCCUGGUGCAGCUGUUGUCUGAAGGUCCUGAUCCUGGGCUGGGAGGUGCAGCGCUGGAUCUGCUGAAGGAGCAGAGGCAAGAGCUGAAUUUCUGCAUGGCAGCAUCUCUUGAAUGCAGUAGAGCUUCCCCAGCUUGAAGAUGGGUGUGCUAUCCAUAUGCCAGAGGAGUGGCAUCAACUGUCUUGUAAUAAACUUCUCAUUUCCUUUUUUAAGAUGAGCCCACUGCGACCUCUCUGGUUUCUUACUAGUUAACUCAGGAGCGUGCUUCUCAGAGAAACUCUUUGUGUUGAAUCUCAGUGAGUGAGUUACUGUGAACCUUCCUCCCAAACUGAGACUGAACUCGAGCAGAAGUGACAAUAUGUUGUACUCUGCAUGUAGCUCUUUAACAGAAGACAUGGAACUCUGGGGUUGUGCCUUUGUGUUAAAUGUUUGCAUGCAGUGUAUUGCAUCUUCAUGUGAGAGUCUGCAGUUAAUAAACUUUGCUUUUAAUUAGUUAAUGAUCCAGUUCUCCUGUGAUUGUAGCACAACAGCCAGAUAAUGCAGGAUAGAAAAUGGAGCUAGUUAACUUAAAUAUGAUACUAUUCUACUCACUUGACUUAUCUGUGUGUUAGUAGGUUUACUCAGUGCAACCAAGCGUCUGCAGGCCAUUAACCUGUUGCUCCUGGUGAUAACAGGACAUAGACAUUCCUCUGGAAAAAAUAACAAAAAUGUAUAUUAGUGACAUGACAUGAGAGGAUAUACAAACUCAG